GUCCAUGUUGCGCAAUGGAUAGCGCGUUGAGCUUCUAAUCCAAAAGUCGUGGGUUCGAAUCCCACCUUGGAUG
This 73-nucleotide transfer RNA is filed under the name Trichonephila clavata. It matches the Rfam family "tRNA". Rfam says of the family: Transfer RNA (tRNA) molecules are approximately 80 nucleotides in length. Their secondary structure includes four short double-helical elements and three loops (D, anti-codon, and T loops). The record is from Rfam by way of RNAcentral. Lineage: Eukaryota; Metazoa; Arthropoda; Arachnida; Araneae; Nephilidae.